RNAcentral lists this ribosomal RNA (401 nucleotides) under uncultured bacterium. Its description in RNAcentral is "partial 16S ribosomal RNA". It matches the Rfam family "Bacterial small subunit ribosomal RNA", at positions 360 to 776 of the family's 1533-position model. The record is from RNAcentral.
AAUAUUGGGCAAUGGGGGAAACCCUGACCCAGCAACGCCGCGUGAGGGAAGAAGGUCUUCGGAUCGUAAACCUCUGUCCUUGGGGACGAAAAAAAUGACGGUACCUUAGGAGGAAGCCCCGGCUAACUACGUGCCAGCAGCCGCGGUAAUACGUAGGGGGCGAGCGUUAUCCGGAAUUACUGGGCGUAAAGGGUGCGUAGGCGGCCUUUUAAGUCAGAUGUGAAAGGCUACGGCUUAACCGUAGUUAGCAUUUGAAACUAAAAGGCUUGAGUGCAGGAGAGGAGAGUGGAAUUCCUAGUGUAGCGGUGAAAUGCGUAGAUAUUAGGAGGAACACCAGUGGCGAAGGCGACUCUCUGGACUGCAACUGACGCUGAGGCACGAAAGCGUGGGUAGCGAACAGG